UGUUUUUCUGUUUUAAAACCAAAACAGAAAAACAAAGGAGCUGCGUUUCAUUCUAUGUAUGACCGGUGUUGUAACCCUGCAGCCUGUUCUCGCUGGAUCCCCUCACACAUGGAGGCUUGGUCAAGGCCUAUUAGCGUGGGUUUGUAACGCACUGGGGAUCCCUAGAGCGUCACAGAUCAACGCAGUGGGGGGGAGCCCCGCAGCGUCAGUUUGUGAUGGUAAAGGUCUAAUAUGUAACAGACUGAGUAAGGACGUGGAUGGACUGAAUGGAGGGCCGGAACCCGGACUUUGAACCAGCAGAACGGCGUUCCUGUCCCAUGUAAAAACAAAAAGCCCGCCAGGCAUCCAGCUCCACAGUCAGCUGCUCAAUCUUCAGAGGAACACACACAUCCCUCCGCUUCAACAACUGACUGAGGAACAGAAACAAAAACAUGGCUGGUCGGUGAGGAUGUUUAGCAGCAGUGGAGAGAUGAGAGGUGUGAGAGACCACAGCCUGACUGUACUGUCUCUGCUACAGCUGGCCAUGGUGAACGGACGACUCUGAUGACAUGUUAAACCUGCAGACACACGCGCAGUUUGGUCCCACGUACCAGCUGGCUGGUAUGCCGGAGGUUGAAAGGCAAGUCUAACCUGCAGCUGCGCAGCAGAAGGGAACCCAGAUUAUAGACACAUCCCACACAGAAACACACAGCUUUUACCUCCGGUGAUGAACAUGCCCGGUGCAGAGGGGACCCAGGCCAGACACUGAACUGAUGCAGCAGCUGAGGGGAAGCAGAAAGACGUAAUACAAGCCAAGGCCGC
Molecule: long non-coding RNA, 801 nt
Organism: Micropterus dolomieu (smallmouth bass)
Lineage: Eukaryota; Metazoa; Chordata; Actinopteri; Centrarchiformes; Centrarchidae
Exons: 4
Source: RefSeq, a predicted model, not a curated record